RNAcentral lists this long non-coding RNA (2330 nucleotides) under Salvia miltiorrhiza (redroot sage). RNAcentral describes it as "long non-coding RNA (SMIL_LNC000642)". Lineage: Eukaryota; Viridiplantae; Streptophyta; Magnoliopsida; Lamiales; Lamiaceae. The record is from RNAcentral.
GGGAAAUGGGGAGUUUGGGUUACUGUUCAUCGAAAGAAACAAAGGAGGAUCGAGGGGGGUUGGAGGGAGAGCUCCCAGAUUCCGACGAGGGGAAUCCGUUUUUAUUAUUCCAGCUUCUAGCAAAAAUGAUGGCUGCUCCAGCCUUUCUGAUCCAAAGCCAGCCUUCUGCCUCUGUUCUUUUUCAUAGAUCUGGAUCGAGUUCCUCCCUGUCGCCGGGCUUUAUCCAGAAAAUAAAAGCAUUUCUCCGAUCCAAAAUCACAGAUCAACAUUCUCACCUCUGAUUUUACCGCCGACCAUCCUGGAUCUUUGGCAAUGUCUGCGCUUCAAGGCCGGUGAGGCUCUGCCUGGAAACGUCGCCGCCGCCGCGCACUGCUGCUGCUUCUAUUUCUCAGAUCUAGUCGUUCCGUUCCUCACCAGUUCCGCCGAGAUCGUGUUCGGCCGAAGAUGACGCAACUCGUCAUUUUUCUCUUCUCAAACCGGCAAAUGGUCGACCUGGCCUCCGACACAGGUUAGGGUCCAGCUUCCUUCCCGCUCAAGCGGCUCACCGCCGACCAAGGAUGCUCAAUCAGCUAUUCAGUGACGCCGUGCAAUUUGGCAAAGAUUCGGAUCAGGAACGAACACUGCGAAGCUAAGUUUCUCAUCUAUUUUCGCUUUGAUUGAUUUUCUGAUGAAUCAAUAGCUUGCCUUCUACUGCUAUUGUUGUCGAUUGACAUGUUGUAAAAUGCAUUUGUGGAAAAGUCUUCAUUUAGCUUGAGCUGAUGAAUCAGCGUUGUUUGUCAAGAUUGAGUUCGAAUGUUCCCACGUGGUGGGUAUAUCGUUGGUCAAAUUUGCAUAUGCCUACUUUGAAUUUGCGAGUGUUUAUCUCUAAUUCAAUUCAGCUUCGCGAAAUCUCUGUUCGAUAUUUAGUACAUGAUUGUUGAUGAUUUGGAAAAAUGGGGGAAAGCCCCAAAUCAGAAUGGGGCUUUAAUGGUUUUCAACUGCCAUUUUGAUCAAUGUUAGUUUAAUAUUUGAUGGCUGGUUUGAAUUGAGUAAUAUGAGGGUAAAACAUGGAACGAAACGCAUUUCUGGAAAGUCUUCUUUAUACUUAAUCUUCUGUGGGAUUAUGUUUAUUUACAUUACUGCUCUUGAGAUCUGAAUUUGCAGUUUACAUAUCAACCUUGAUGUUUUUUCUGUGGUGUUUGCGCAAGGAUUAUAUCUGCAUAUAUGUACAGGUGUAUGGGCACCGAGAUGUCAAAUAUGAUGGGUUUGACAAAAUGUGUUAUACUUUGAUCAUGUAGCAAUUGACUUUUUUAAAUUCAUCAUUUGCCCUGUGCUGGUGCUUGGGAUUUUGAACUUGUUAUUGUCAUGAUUUUACUUUGUUUGUCAGCUUGGUGUUGCUAGGAUGCCAAUAUAGUUUUUGGGACGUGAUUUAGCUAUGAUUUUUGCUCUGAUUUUGGGGAUUGAUUCGAUAAUUUUGUUGCACUAACUUAGCCCUGUCGCAUUGUGAGUUCAGGUCCACCAAGACGGAUAUUUCAACACUUGCUCGUUGUUGAAAGCACUACGAUUGCCUAGCUGAGCCAAAUAUGGUUUAUUCAUGGGAGCUCUUGACAAAAGGGGACAAAUGACAGCUCCGCUAGUUACUUGCUCGGGUCCUAAGCUCAACUUUUGGGGAAUGUUAUAGCAUCAAGACAGGGCUGCUGAACACACUCACAAAAAAGAGACUAAUCGUGACAUGGGUUUUGGGUUAAAGACAUUAUUGAAUUCGUGGUUUCAUAUCAUAUGCACUGACAAAUAAUUAUUGUUUAUCCAUUAUAUUUUCUCUUUGAGAAUCGUGAUUUCAGGAUUGUGAAUUUCAGCCAUUGGGAUACAAAUAUUCUAAUUUAUGUGUCAUUUUUGGGGAUUCUCACAACUUUUAUUCGAUGGAAUAAAUGUUUAGGGCGGCACUGUUGCUUGGGAAAAGCAAAGCGUACACUUCUUUACUUGUUAAUUGAUUUACAGCCCUAUCUCUAAGGGCUCUCAUAUUUUACUAAUAUAUAUGUGCUUAAGAAUUUUUGUAGCACAUGAUAAACAAAUUUGGGGAAUGAUUUGAACAAUUAUGGUAAAUACCAUAAUGUAAAACAGGAUAACCCACUAGUAAGUGGUAAUUCAGGUAUUUCGCUGAAUUCUAUCAAUGGGAGGAGCAUGAUUGGGAUAUGUGAUAUUUUAUCACUUGGGCAUGAUUUACAUGAUCUUUGAUGGGAUUUGAAAUUUGAAUGAAUUCAUCGGUAUACGAAUAUGGGAAUCAAGUUGUGGCAAUGGAUUAUAUAAUCUAGUGUUCGAAUUCUCUUUGCAGCCCUGUCUCAAGGGGCUCU